Molecule: ribosomal RNA, 452 nt
Filed under: uncultured Gammaproteobacteria bacterium
Lineage: Bacteria; Pseudomonadati; Pseudomonadota; Gammaproteobacteria
Description: bacterial SSU rRNA
Rfam family: Bacterial small subunit ribosomal RNA
Source: RNAcentral
AUCCGCACGAGCGCACCCUUGCCCUAUGUUGCCAGCGGAUAAUGCCGGGGACUCAUGGGGAACUGCCGGUGAUAAACCGGAGGAAGGUGGGGACGACGUCAAGUCAUCAUGGCCCUUACGCCCAGGGCUACACACGUGCUACAAUGGCCGGUACAAAGGGCUGCCAACCUGCGAAGGUGAGCGAAUCCCAAAAAGCCGGUCUAAGUUCGGAUUGUAGUCUGCAACUCGACUGCAUGAAGUCGGAAUCGCUAGUAAUCGUGUAUCAGCAACGACACGGUGAAUACGUUCCCGGGCCUUGUACACACCGCCCGUCACACCACGAAAGUCAGCUGUACCUGACAUCGCUGGAGCUAACCCGCAAGGGAGGCAGGUGCCCACGGUAUGGUUGGUGAUUGGGGGUGAAGUCGUAACAAGGUAGCCGUAGGGGAACCUGCGGCUGGAUCACCUCCUUU